Molecule: ribosomal RNA, 448 nt
Filed under: uncultured bacterium
Lineage: Bacteria
Description: partial 16S ribosomal RNA
Rfam family: Bacterial small subunit ribosomal RNA
Source: RNAcentral
GGCCAGACUCCUACGGGAGGCAGCAGAGGGGAAUAUUGCACAAUGGGGGGAACCCUGAUGCAGCGACGCCGCGUGGGCGAGGAAGUAUUUCGGUAUGUAAAGCCCUAUCGGCAGGGAAGAAGAAAUGACGGUACCUGAAUAAGAGGCACCGGCUAAAUACGUGCCAGCAGCCGCGGUAAUACGUAUGGUGCAAGCGUUAUCCGGAUUUACUGGGCGUAAAGGGAGCGCAGGCGGCGCGCCAAGUCUGAUGUGAAACCCCGGGGCUCAACCCCGGGCAUGCAUUGGAAACUGUCGGACUAGAGUGUCGGAGAGGCAAGUGGAAUUCCUAGUGUAGCGGUGAAAUGCGUAGAUAUUAGGAGGAACACCAGUGGCGAAGGCGGCUUGCUGGACGAUGACUGACGUUGAGGCUCGAAAGCGUGGGGAGCAAACAGGAUUAGAUACCCUAGUA